CCUACGGGAGGCAGCAGUGAGGAAUAUUGGUCAAUGGACGAGAGUCUGAACCAGCCAAGUAGCGUGAAGGAUGACUGCCCUAUGGGUUGUAAACUUCUGUUAUAAAGGAAUAAAACGAGGCACGUGUGCCUUGUUGCAUGUACUUUAUGAAUAAGGAUCGGCUAACUCCGUGCCAGCAGCCGCGGUAAUACGGAGGAUCCGAGCGUUAUCCGGAGUUAUUGGGGUUACAGGGAGCGUAGAUGGGUUGUUAAGUCAGUGGUGAAAGUUGGCGGCUCAACCGGAAAAUUGCCUUUGAUACUGGCAGUCUUGCGUCCAGUUGAGGUAUGCGGACUUCGUGGUGUCGCGG
RNAcentral lists this ribosomal RNA (346 nucleotides) under uncultured bacterium. Its description in RNAcentral is "partial 16S ribosomal RNA". It matches the Rfam family "Bacterial small subunit ribosomal RNA", at positions 338 to 681 of the family's 1533-position model. The record is from RNAcentral.